UAAUCCGACCUAGGCUCAUCCGGCUGCGCGAGGUCCUUGCGGAUCCCACGCUUUCACCUUUCGGUCGUAUGCGGUAUUAGCGUAAGUUUCCCUACGUUAUCCCCCACAACCGGGCAGAUUCCGAUGUAUUCCUCACCCGUCCGCCACUCGUCAGCACCCUUGCGGGCCUGUUACCGUUCGACUUGCAUGUGUUAGGCAUGCCGCCAGCGUUCACUCUGAGCCAGGAUCAAACUCU
RNAcentral lists this ribosomal RNA (235 nucleotides) under uncultured bacterium. Its description in RNAcentral is "partial 16S ribosomal RNA". The record is from RNAcentral.